UACAGGACAGUGGCGGAUGGGUGAGUAACGCGUAAGAAACCUGCCUUUCACACCGGGAUAGCAGCUGGAAACGGCUAUUAAUACCGGAUGACACUUUUUCCCCGCAUGAGGAAGAGGUUAAAGAAUUUCGGUGAAAGAUGGUCUUGCGUCUGAUUAGCUAGUUGGUGGGGUAACGGCCUACCAAGGCGACGAUCAGUAGCCGGCCUGAGAGGGUGUACGGCCACAUUGGGACUGAGACACGGCCCAAACUCCUACGGGAGGCAGCAGUGGGGAAUUUUGCACAAUGGAGGAAACUCUGAUGCAGCGACGCCGCGUGAACGAAGAAGGUCUUCGGAUUGUAAAGUUCUGUCCUGGGUGAAGAUAAUGACGGUAACUCAGGAGGAAGCCCCGGCUAACUACGUGCCAGCAGCCGCGGUAAUACGUAGGGGGCGAGCGUUGUUCGGAAUUAUUGGGCGUAAAGGGUACGUAGGCGGUUUGUUAAGUUUGGCGUUAAAUCACGGGGCUCAACCCCGUUCAGCGUUGAAAACUGGCAAACUUGAGUAGUAGAGGGGACAGUGGAAUUCCUAGUGUAGCGGUGAAAUGCGUAGAGAUUAGGAAGAAUACCGGUGGCGAAGGCGACUGUCUGGAUACAUACUGCGCUCAGGUACGAAAGCGUGGGGAGCA
This 663-nucleotide ribosomal RNA is filed under the name uncultured Clostridium sp. RNAcentral's name for it is "bacterial SSU rRNA". It matches the Rfam family "Bacterial small subunit ribosomal RNA", at positions 86 to 770 of the family's 1533-position model. The record is from RNAcentral. Lineage: Bacteria; Bacillati; Bacillota; Clostridia; Eubacteriales; Clostridiaceae.